UCCGUAGGUGAACCUGCGGAAGGAUCAUUACAGAGUUCAUGCCCGAAAGGGUAGACCUCCCACCCUUGUGUAUUAUUACUUUGUUGCUUUGGCGAGCUGCCUUCGGGCCUUGUAUGCUCGCCAGAGAAUACCAAAACUCUUUUUAUUAAUGUCGUCUGAGUACUAUAUAAUAGUUAAAACUUUCAACAACGGAUCUCUUGGUUCUGGCAUCGAUGAAAAACGCAGCGAAAUGCGAUAAGUAAUGGGAAUUGCAGAAUUCAGUGAAUCAUCGAAUCUUUGAACGCACAUUGCGCCCCUUGGUAUUCCGGGGGGCAUGCCUGUUCGAGCGUCAUUUCAACCCUCAAGCUUAGCUUGGUAUUGAGUCUAUGUCAGUAAUGGCAGGCUCUAAAAUCAGUGGCGGCGCCGCUGGGUCCUGAACGUAGUAAUAUCUCUCGUUACAGGUUCUCGGUGUGCUUCUGCCAAAACCCAAAUUUUUCUAUGGUUGACCUCGGAUCAGGUAGGGAUACCCGCUGAACUUAAGCAUAUCAAUAAGCGGAGGA
RNAcentral lists this ribosomal RNA (539 nucleotides) under Botrytis cinerea. Its description in RNAcentral is "eukaryotic LSU rRNA". The stretch from base 178 to 331 matches the Rfam family "5.8S ribosomal RNA". Lineage: Eukaryota; Fungi; Ascomycota; Leotiomycetes; Helotiales; Sclerotiniaceae. The record is from RNAcentral.